Molecule: long non-coding RNA, 1662 nt
Organism: Lactuca sativa (garden lettuce)
Lineage: Eukaryota; Viridiplantae; Streptophyta; Magnoliopsida; Asterales; Asteraceae
Source: RefSeq, a predicted model, not a curated record
CCACGUGUUCUUCUUCUCUCUUUCUUUUGGGUUCGAUGUUCACCAUUGUUUCUUUUUGUUCUCGUUCUUUCUUUCGAUAGGUAACUUCUCUCUCUUCUUUUUCUAUUUCACGUUUCUGUUUUUGUGUUCUUCUUUAACCAUUGUUGUCCCUGUUUUGUUCGUUUGUAUUCAACGUCAUUGCCCACCGCUUCUCGCCGUCCCUUUCACCGACUCUGCUUUCCUUUUCGUUCCUUUCCCUUCAUUACUUCCUCACCCUUAUGAACACCCAAUCUGCUGCUUCUACACGAUGUCUACUCAGUUAUGCCUCUUCACCGAUCUUUCAACAGUUGCCGUCGAUUGUAUUUGAAGCUUUCCUGAUGACGGACUACUUCCACUUUCCCCUUCUUGCGACAGUCCGCUGGAGAAGAAAAUGAUGAGUUUUGCAAGAAAGGCGGCAGACCAACUAAUUUUUACCCUAUGGCGACCGUCCCCGUCUCCAUCUCCAGCGUUCGGAGGAACAGUCGUUGGCUAUGGAAGAUACCAGUCCGAGGCAAUUGAGGUCACCGAAUUAUGGCUGGAGAUAGCAGGAACAUAGUUAUUUUUCUUCUACAUCGGGUUUUCUGCAACAUCUUCUUUUAUUGUCCAUGGAUAUUUUGUCCAAUUUUAUGUUGCUAACAGUUUAUUUUUGAAUAAAAAUAAUCCUUGCCCCGUAUCUAAAGGAAAUUUUGCAUUCGGUAUUUGUUGAUGCACUUCAUUAAAUAUGUUCUCUUCCUGUAAUUGGCAUACCAGAAGCUUGUCUGUAAAUAUCGACCUUCAUUGGUCUUUCUUUUUUGCUAUUCCUUUGUUCUUAUACGCAUAACCAUCUCAUAAUAAAUGCAUUUGUUUCUAUUUUAGAAUAUGUCUCACAUUGAUUGGAGUUUGCUUUUUAACAUCCCAUUAAUUUGUCUUUCACUCUUUCUGUGUAUGAAAUGGCAGUGGAUACUGAUUUUGUCUCUACCAUCUGUUUUUCAAUAGUGGAAGCUAAGGUUUGAUGUCAACCAUUUGAUCCACUCUAUUCCUGCUCGACCACCACCACUGUAACUUCUAGCUCUCGGUUGUCACCUGAAAGAUCGGUGGUGGCUGGUGGGUGUGUUUAACUAGCUAACCAGAGAUAUCUGAGCUCCGGUCACCGGACAUGUCGACAUGGCAAGAGACCCAUGAAUUUCGUAGUCUAUAGUGGUGACAUAGGGCAUUAAAUUUUAUUAGUUCUUUUUCGCUAAAAUACCUUCAUUAUAUUGGAUUUUGACUUGAUCUUAUGAACCGGUCCAUUGUAGUUAAGCUUAUAUGUGAUGACAAGAGUUGGAACUGAAAAGGAUAUCAAUUUGUACAUUUUGUUUCUGAGGAGUCUGGCACCAAAGAUUGACCAGAAAUGGAUGCUCAGGUAAAAAACAUUAAAAUAAUGUCCCACUAAAAUCAGGUUGACCAUUGCAAAGACAAGAUGAGAAAUCAUCAUGAAAAUUCGCGUGUAUUUUUUUGGUUUUUUUUCAUUAAUGUAUUUUAAUUUAAAAAAUGUGCAUCAUGAAGUUGUUGAAUGAAUCUUAGGGUAUUUAGAGUUCACAUAGAGUUGUUGAAAAUAGAAAGUCGUAAUUCUGAUAGCAGUAGUAAACCCUUUAUGCAAAAGGGCAGUUUUGGUAAUUUGUUUGA